AACGAACGCUGGCGGCGCGCCUAAUACAUGCAAGUCGAGCGAGAAGACGUAGCAAUACGUUUGUAAAGCGGCGAACGGGUGAGGAAUACAUGGGUAACCUACCCUCGAGUGGGGAAUAACUAGCCGAAAGGUUAGCUAAUACCGCGUACGCUCCUUGGACUUCGGUUCAGGGAGGAAAGCGAUACCGUGGGUAUCGCGCUCUUGGAUGGGCUCAUGUCCUAUCAGCUUGUUGGUGAGGUAACGGCUCACCAAGGCUUCGACGGGUAGCUGGUCUGAGAGGACGAUCAGCCACACUGGCACUGCGACACGGGCCAGACUCCUACGGGAGGCAGCAGUAAGGAAUAUUGGACAAUGGGCGCAAGCCUGAUCCAGCCAUGCCGCGUGAGUGAUGAAGGCCCUAGGGUUGUAAAGCUCUUUUGUGCGGGAAGAUAAUGACGGUACCGCAAGAAUAAGCCCCGGCUAACUUCGUGCCAGCAGCCGCUG
Molecule: ribosomal RNA, 483 nt
Filed under: uncultured bacterium
Lineage: Bacteria
Description: bacterial SSU rRNA
Rfam family: Bacterial small subunit ribosomal RNA
Source: RNAcentral